GUCGAGGAUCAUUCGCAAUGGGCGCAAGCCUGACGAUGCGACGCUGCGUGGAGGAUGAAGGCCUUCGGGUUGUAAACUCCUGUCGUACGGGAAAAACGGCGGACGGGCUAAUACCCCGGUCGCGUGAUGGUACCGUAAGAGGAAGCCACGGCUAACUCUGUGCCAGCAGCCGCGGUAAUACAGAGGUGGCGAGCGUUGUUCGGAUUUACUGGGCGUAAAGGGUGCGUAGGCGGGUUCGUAUGUCGGGUGUGAAAUCCCACGGCUCAACCGUGGAAGGUCAUCCGAAACUACGGAUCUAGAGUCCGGAAAGGGAGAGCGGAAUUCUUGGUGUAGCGGUGAAAUGCGUUGAUAUCAAGAGGAACACCGGUGGCGAAGGCGGCUCUCUGGAACGUGACUGACGCUGAGGCACGAAAGCGUGGGGAGCAAACAGGAUUAGAUACCCCGGUAGUCC
This 451-nucleotide ribosomal RNA is filed under the name uncultured bacterium. RNAcentral describes it as "bacterial SSU rRNA". It matches the Rfam family "Bacterial small subunit ribosomal RNA", at positions 354 to 796 of the family's 1533-position model. The record is from RNAcentral.